UGUGCUUUGAGCCGGCCUACCCCUUGGGUGGACUUGCUCUUAUGCAAAUACUACUUGACCGCGCUAGGGUUUAUAGGAACUAAAUAUCUUGCAGCCACGCCUUGAGUUCCCGAACUGCGAAGGGAUAAGGGUCGCCCCACGCCAUUAAAGCUUUACAUCUUCUAUCCUUAGUGUGUGGAACAUGCUGCAUGCACAUACAUAUAUAAUAUAUAAGAUCUUCAUAGGGCCAUGUGUCCCAAACAAGGGCUAUGUGUUCGAUUCCCACGUGUGAUGUGGGACCAAAUUCCUCACUCUUCUGUCAAAGAUUUUUUAUUUGAUUUUCUUUAUUUUUCUAGUUGUGUCUCAAAUAAAAAAGUGUGCAAAUUGUUAUGAUACAAAAUUACAAAUGAAGGGCAAAGCCCUAUAUAUGCAUGCACUUUUUCCCCUUUGUUUUGAAGCUUAGUACUAUAUGGUCUCACAUAUAUAGCACGCGUUUGGGCAAUGCUUCUGCAUCCUCUUGCAUGCGGAUUAGGUGCUAGGGUAGCGACACACCUAUACUCUCUCUAUCCAUACUCAUGGGGUAUGGGAUCCUCUUUUUCGACACUUCUUGCAUCAAAAGCAAGAAAUUGGUGUAUUGCGGGUAUAAAGUGCAUUUGCAUGUGUAUAAUUGUGUCAAUUUUUAUUUAUCUUUUCGGUCGAAAAUAACUGAGUGAUUAAUUUGUUCAAGACAUCACAACACAAGAACUUCAAAUUCGCACCGAGAAUUACACCACAAUUGGAUUUAAUCACAUUGAAAGAGAUUUAGCAAAUUCGAUUCAUCUUCACACGCUCUUGCACGUAUAUCCAAACAUAAUAAAUAAAGUGUGAAAUGCCGAUUUAGUUCCUGAAUUAUCACCUCAAUGAAAAUUAGGCCCUGAAUUAUUUUUCAGAAAAAUAAGUCCCUACAUUCAUUAAAAAAUGCUAAUUACAUCCCUACUAUUAUAUUCAAAAGUUAUUUUAUUCAAUUUUUCAUCAACUUAAGUCGCUUGACACAGUUUAGAGUGAAUAGCGUCCUUUUCUCAACCAUAAGCCCUUAACAUUUCAUAUAUGUUGCAAAUCUAACAUUUAAUUUACCCUCCAAAGUCAAAUCCAUGGAAAAUUACUAAUCUACUCUCCAAUAUGUAUCACAUGUAAGUAACAUGACAUAAAUUGACGGAAAAUUUAAUUAGUGGCUUCGAAUCUAAUAUUAGGGAUGUAAUUGACAAAUUUUUAUAAUUCAAGAACUAAUUUUUCUGAAAAAAAAUAGUUUUGGAACCUAAUUUUCACUCAUGUGGUAAUUCAGGGAUUAAAUUAGGCUAAGGGAGUAUGCAAGAUACCCUUGCUUAGGCCAAAGCCAGAACACUCUUGGUCUCGAAAAAUCCGGCAAGCCGGUUAGGCGAGGAGUAAUGGAAGUGGGAAUUGAAUCUGGUGUAUGUUUCCCUUCGGAAGCUCGUGGAUCUGAGAAAAGUAGUGGUGGGGAUGGAUUGUGAGCUAGUUAGGUAAAGGAAGGAGGUGGGGAAUGGUGGUUGUUUGGGGUUGAAGAACAUCGGAUGGAAGAUAGAGCAGGUAGAAAAAGAAAACAGAGGAUAAAGUAGCAAAAACGGCGUUGUAGACAUGCAAAUUUCGGUGAAAAUAAAUGUUUUCUAACGUAUUAAAUUUUGACAUGCAAGGCUUAUGUGGCAUGUAUCAUGCAUGUGUCUCACAAAUUGUACACAUAA
RNAcentral lists this long non-coding RNA (1715 nucleotides) under Malus domestica (apple). RNAcentral describes it as "long non-coding RNA (MDOM_LNC014122)". Lineage: Eukaryota; Viridiplantae; Streptophyta; Magnoliopsida; Rosales; Rosaceae. The record is from RNAcentral.